Molecule: transfer RNA, 74 nt
Filed under: Vibrio cholerae O1 biovar El Tor str. N16961
Lineage: Bacteria; Pseudomonadati; Pseudomonadota; Gammaproteobacteria; Vibrionales; Vibrionaceae
Rfam family: tRNA
About the family: Transfer RNA (tRNA) molecules are approximately 80 nucleotides in length.
Source: Rfam by way of RNAcentral
GGGGUUAUAGCUCAGCUGGGAGAGCGCCUGCCUUGCACGCAGAGGUCUGCGGUGUACGAUCCCGCAUAACUCCA